AUUGAACGCUGGCGGCAGGCCUAACACAUGCAAGUCGAGCGGAGCGGCGGACGGGUGAGUAAUGCCUAGGACUCUGCCUGGUAGUGGUGGAUAACGUCCGGAAACGGUCGCUAAUACCGCAUACUAUCAGAUGAGCCUAGGUCGGAGUAGCUAGUUGGUGGGGUAAAGGCCUACCAAGGCGACGAUCCGUAACUGGUCUGCGAGGAUGACCAGCCACACUGGAACUGAGACACGGUCCAGACUCCUACGGGAGGCAGCAGUGGGGAAUAUUGCACAAUGGGCGCAAGCCUGAUGCAGCCAUGACGCGUGUAUGAAGAAGGCCUUCGGGUUGUAAAGUACUUUCAGCGGGGAGGCGUUAACCGAAGAAGAAGCACCGGCUAACUCCGUGCCAGCAGCCGCGGUAAGAG
This 407-nucleotide ribosomal RNA is filed under the name uncultured bacterium. RNAcentral describes it as "partial 16S ribosomal RNA". It matches the Rfam family "Bacterial small subunit ribosomal RNA", at positions 30 to 526 of the family's 1533-position model. The record is from RNAcentral.